RNAcentral lists this transfer RNA (90 nucleotides) under Arcanobacterium sp. S3PF19. It matches the Rfam family "tRNA". Rfam says of the family: Transfer RNA (tRNA) molecules are approximately 80 nucleotides in length. Their secondary structure includes four short double-helical elements and three loops (D, anti-codon, and T loops). The record is from Rfam by way of RNAcentral. Lineage: Bacteria; Bacillati; Actinomycetota; Actinomycetes; Actinomycetales; Actinomycetaceae.
GGAGACGUGGCUGAGUGGUCGAAAGCGCUCCCCUGCUAAGGGAGUAGUCGUGAAUUAAGCGGCUCGAGGGUUCAAAUCCCUCCGUCUCCG